GACGAACGCUGGCGGCGUGCCUAAUACAUGCAAGUCGAGCGGACUUUCAAGAAGCUUGCUUUUUGAAAGUUAGCGGCGGACGGGUGAGUAACACGUGGGCAACCUGCCUGCAAGACGGGGAUAACUCCGGGAAACCGGGGCUAAUACCGGAUAAUAUCUUCCUUCGCAUGAAGGAAGGUUGAAAGGCGGCGCAAGCUGCCGCUUGCAGAUGGGCCCGCGGCGCAUUAGCUAGUUGGUGAGGUAACGGCUCACCAAGGCGACGAUGUGUAGCCGACCUGAGAGGGUGAUCGGCCACACUGGGACUGAGACACGGCCCAGACUCCUACGGGAGGCAGCAGUAGGGAAUCUUCCGCAAUGGACGAAAGUCUGACGGAGCAACGCCGCGUGAGCGAAGAAGGUCUUCGGAUCGUAAAGCUCUGUUGUCAGGGAAGAACAAGUACCGUUCGAACAGGGCGGUACCUUGACGGUACCUGACCAGAAAGCCACGGCUAACUACGUG
RNAcentral lists this ribosomal RNA (499 nucleotides) under uncultured bacterium. Its description in RNAcentral is "partial 16S ribosomal RNA". It matches the Rfam family "Bacterial small subunit ribosomal RNA", at positions 28 to 507 of the family's 1533-position model. The record is from RNAcentral.